GAUCGACGUAAUGCAAACCGCGGAACCGACUGCUAACCCCGCCAACUCACCCACCGCUCUGGAGUCGGUGGCAACGGCGCAGGUGACGAACAUCAUGUUGAAGGUGACGACGAUCUCGAUGACGAGGGCGUGCCAGUGCGGCCCCGUCGGCGUCGUCGUCCCCAACACCUCGAUCGGGUACAGCACCGCCCGCAGCACGAACGCCGCGCACAUCGCCCCCGUGAACUGCGC
This 231-nucleotide unclassified non-coding RNA is filed under the name Hevea brasiliensis (rubber tree). The record is from RNAcentral. Lineage: Eukaryota; Viridiplantae; Streptophyta; Magnoliopsida; Malpighiales; Euphorbiaceae.